GAUGAACGCUGGCGGCGUGCCUAAUACAUGCCAGUCGAGCGAACGGACGAGAAGCUUGCUUCUCUGAUGUUAGCGGCGGACGGGUGAGUAACACGUGGAUAACCUACCUAUAAGACUGGGAUAACUUCGGGAAACCGGGGCUAAUACCGGAUGAUAUUUUGAACCGCAUGGUUCAAAAGUGAAAGACGGUCUUGCUGUCACUUAUAGAUGGAUCCGCGCUGCAUUAGCUAGUUGGUAAGGUAACGGCUUACCAAGGCAACGAUGCAUAGCCGACCUGAGAGGGUGAUCGGCCACACUGGAACUGAGACACGGUCCAGACUCCUACGGGAGGCAGCAGUAGGGAAUCUUCCGCAAUGGGCGAAAGCCUGACGGAGCAACGCCGCGUGAGUGAUGAAGGUCUUCGGAUCGUAAAACUCUGUUAUUAGGGAAGAACAUAUGUGUAAGUAACUGUGCACAUCUUGACGGUACCUAAUCAGAAAGCCACGGCUAACUACGUG
RNAcentral lists this ribosomal RNA (497 nucleotides) under uncultured bacterium. RNAcentral's name for it is "partial 16S ribosomal RNA". It matches the Rfam family "Bacterial small subunit ribosomal RNA", at positions 28 to 507 of the family's 1533-position model. The record is from RNAcentral.